GACGAACGCUGGCGGCGUGCUUAACACAUGCAAGUCGAACGGAAAGGCCCUGCUUUUGUGGGGUGCUCGAGUGGCGAACGGGUGAGUAACACGUGAGUAACCUUCCCUUUACUUUGGGAUAACUUCAGGAAACUGGGGCUAAUACCGGAUAGUAGCUCCUGCUGCAUGGUGGGUGUUGGAAAGUUUCGGCGGUUGGGGAUGGACUCGCGGCUUAUCAGCUUGUUGGUGGGGUAGUGGCUUACCAAGGCUUUGACGGGUAGCCGGCCUGAGAGGGUGACCGGCCACAUUGGGACUGAGAUACGGCCCAGACUCCUACGGGAGGCAGCAGUGGGGAAUAUUGCACAAUGGGCGGAAGCCUGAUGCAGCAACGCCGCGUGCGGGAUGACGGCCUUCGGGUUGUAAACCGCUUUCGCCUGUGACGAAGCGUGAGUGACGGUAAUGGGUAAAGAAGCACCGGCUAACUACGUG
This 468-nucleotide ribosomal RNA is filed under the name uncultured bacterium. Its description in RNAcentral is "partial 16S ribosomal RNA". It matches the Rfam family "Bacterial small subunit ribosomal RNA", at positions 28 to 507 of the family's 1533-position model. The record is from RNAcentral.